RNAcentral lists this ribosomal RNA (274 nucleotides) under uncultured bacterium. RNAcentral's name for it is "partial 16S ribosomal RNA". It matches the Rfam family "Bacterial small subunit ribosomal RNA", at positions 523 to 796 of the family's 1533-position model. The record is from RNAcentral.
AUACAGAGGGUGCGAGUGUUAAUCGGAAUUACUGGGCGUAAAGCGCGCGUAGGCGGCUUAUUAAGUCAGAUGUGAAAUCCCCGGGCUCAACCUGGGAACUGCAUCUGAUACUGGUAAGCUAGAGUUUGGGAGAGGGAAGUAGAAUUUCAGGUGUAGCGGUGAAAUGCAUAGAGAUCUGAAGGAAUACCAGUGGCGAAGGCGACUUCCUGGCCUAAAACUGACGCUGAGGUGCGAAAGCGUGGGUAGCAAACGGAAUUAGAAACCCGAGUAGUCC